AUGAACCAAGAAAAAAGCAAAGUUGCUAAGAGUGUAGCGGCUGUGGAAAAAAGAAAACAAGUACCACCACCUCACAUCUCAUGUUUCUACCGACUAAGAUAAUGUUUUUUUUUACAAUCCAACUAAGAUAAUGUUACAGGAGACAAUUUUUUUUACUUGCUUUUAAUUUAAGUUAGAUGUUCAUUUACAUAAAUUAGAUAUCAAAUGAUACCAACUAAUUUGACAUUAAAUAUUACACAUCUCAAUAAUGUUUUAACCGAUAUAAAUUUUAUAAAAUUCACCGUUGGAUUAAAAAUUUAUAUCAUAUGGAUAAUUUAUAUAAAACUUUAAACAAAUCUAAAAUCAUUUGAUAUCUUAUUAAGAUAUAUCAAAAUUAACGGUUUGCGUCUUUUUUAUAUGCCGUUAAUAUUUAUGUGUCGCAAUAGCAUAUCAAAUAAUUUUAAAUUUGUCUGAAAUUUUACACAAACGAUAGAUUUUAUAAAAUUUAUAUCAGUUAAAACAUUAUUGAGAAGUGUAACAUUUUGUGUCAAACUAGUUUCUGUUUUGAUCCUGACCCAAAGUAGUUUAUACUCCUGCAUUAAAAAUCGUCAUUUGUUCAUCAUUCAUUAAUUUAACACCCAUGCAUGUUUCAACAUGUUAAAGUUCUGCAAAAUUAGAUACGAAAAUUGAAUGUCAAUCACACUCCAUCCUUAAAAUUGUUUGGGUAUGCAUUCAAUGUAUUAAAAAUUAUUGAACUCAAAUGGUUAAUAAGCUUUAUCAAAUAACAGAUCGUUCGAGAUCAAAACCCAAGUUCAAUUCUUAAGUGAAACAAUUUUUUGACCGGACUUUACGUACCUCACGGCCGAACUUCG
Molecule: long non-coding RNA, 851 nt
Filed under: Trifolium pratense (red clover)
Lineage: Eukaryota; Viridiplantae; Streptophyta; Magnoliopsida; Fabales; Fabaceae
Description: long non-coding RNA (TPRA_LNC002206)
Source: RNAcentral